RNAcentral lists this ribosomal RNA (950 nucleotides) under uncultured archaeon. RNAcentral's name for it is "bacterial SSU rRNA". It matches the Rfam family "Archaeal small subunit ribosomal RNA", at positions 1 to 937 of the family's 1478-position model. The record is from RNAcentral.
UUCCGGUUGAUCCCGCCGGACCCGACUGCUAUUUGGGUGAGGAUAAACCAUGCGAGUUGAAUGGGAUACCUAAAUAUCCCAUAGCAAACUGCUCAGUAACACAUGAUCAACUUACCCUAUGGAGAAAAAUAACCUCGGGAAACUGAGGAUAAUGUUUCAUAGUUGAAUAGGCUUGGAAAAGUUUUUCAAUGAAAGGGGUAAGAAAAAUGGUUCUUAUUUGCCAUAGGAUAGGAUCGUGGUCGAUUAUGGUUGUUGGUGAGGUAACGGCUCACCAAGCCGAUAAUCGAUAGGGGCCGUGAGAGCGGGAGCCCCGAGAUGGGUACUGAGACAACGACCCAGGCCUUACGAGGCGCAGCAGGUGCGGAACCUCCGCAAUACACGAAAGUGUGACGGGGUUACCCAAAGUGUUCAUUAUUGAACUGUGGUAGGUGAGUAAUGUCCCCUACUAGAAAGGAGAGGGCAAGGCUGGUGCCAGCCGCCGCGGUAAAACCAGCUCUUCAAGUGGUCGGGAUGAUUAUUGGGCUUAAAGUGUCCGUAGCCGGUUUAGUAAGUUCCUGGUAAAAUCGGGUAGCUUAACUAUCCGUAUGCUAGGAAUACUGCUAUACUAGAGGGCGGGAGAGGUCUGAGGUACUAUAGGGGUAGGGGUGAAAUCCUAUAAUCCUUAUAGGACCACCAGUGGCGAAGGCGUCAGACUGGAACGCGCCUGACGGUGAGGGACGAAAGCCAGGGGAGCGAACCGGAUUAGAUACCCGGGUAGUCCUGGCCGUAAACGAUGCAUACUAGGUGAUGGCACGGCCAUGAGCCGUGUCAGUGCCGUAGGGAAACCGUUAAGUGUGCCGCCUGGGAAGUACGGUCGCAAGGCUAAAACUUAAAGGAAUUGGCGGGGGAGCACCACAAGGGGUGAAGCCUGCGGUUCAAUUGGAUUCAACGCCGGGAAUCACUAGUGCGGC